GUAAACAGAGGAUUUGUCACACACACGGCAAUGACAUAAAACUGGUGUAGGAUGGUGCCCCUGGUUUUUCUGAAGUAUGAGAUCCUAGUCCAACCCUCCGAGUUAGGGCAUGAGAGGUCUGUAUUGGGGUGGCUGCUCUAGAAAGCUACCUUUAAAUCAAAUAUCCUUAGAAGCCAGAAUCCUUUGUUGUGUGCAGGGAACGCUCCCCAGCUGUUUUCUGUUUCCACUGAGGGCAGGACAGGAGGAAAUAAAAUGGAUCAAACAGCACAGACAGGAUUUAGCUUAGAUAUAAGAGAAAACAUCCUGACAGUGAGAAUUAUUGACCAGUCAGGGAAAGCUACAUGGGGAAGCAUAGGACUGUCUUCUCUAAAAAUCUUUUAGAAAAACCCUGACAUGAGCUGAGAAAAAGAAGGCUCUCUCUGAAUCAGUGGUCAGCAGGCAACGUUCCCAAAAAGGGGAUACCUAUUGACCAACUCCUGAUUUUCCGAAAUAUCAGUGGAGGAUGGAAAACCCUCCAGACUAAAAAAUGUACUACACGUCCCCAUAAUCUUGGUUAAUGGCCUUCACUUUUAAAAUGUAAAUACUGCCAAGUGGUCACUUUAUAUCAGCCAUUCCUACCAGUGUGAAUCAUCAGAAUCAGAGAACCUCCUAAAAAUGCAAGUAGGGUGCUUUCCCCAAGGAAUGAAAGUUUAGAGAACUCGGAAGAAAAGGCCUGGUCCAUCCUAGACGAUGAGCUGAGGGGAGCCUUUGGUGCCAGAAAGAAGGGGAGCUGCUGAAGUUGGAGAGGAUGAAAGGGAAGCAGGAAGACCUCAGACUCACUCAUCGUCUUCUUCAUGCUUUUAUCAAAGUUUCUAUCAACCUACACGACUGCUAAGGAAUGCUGCACACCCUCUGCUGCCCAUCUCUGGCUCCGUGCUGGGAAUUCCUAAGGUGGGAAUUAGAAGACUGUCAAGAUUCCUUCUGGACUAUCAUUCUCUGAUCCUGAGAUGCCUCUAUUUCCCAAAAAGCCACACACUGUCUUCAACAGAAGCUCAGAGAGUCCCAAAGGGGACGAGACGUGACAUGGACAAGGACAAAAUGGAAUCGUUAAAGGAGACACUGUAUUGAGUCGCCAUAGAAGGAGUGGAACUUUCAGAAACUGUGAGGAAACUCUUACACCAAGAGGUGUGGAAUUGUUCAGUGUCCCAGCUGGCAGGUGGAGGAGCUGAGCAUCCAAUCGCUAUGCUCCCUGGGCAUGUGCCAGAUGAGUCUCUCCUUUCUCUUUGUUGACUCUCUUCUGCUGAGCUUGUGGGGCGAGACUGAGCCUGUGGGGCGAGACGGAGCUUGUGGGGCGAGACGGAGCCUGUGGGCCGAGACGGAGCUGUGGGGCGAGACGGAGCUUGUGGGGCGAGACGGAGCCUGUGGAGUGAGACUGAGUUUAUGGGGUGAGAUUAGCUGCGUCACAAUUGGGAAGCACCAAAGGAGCCCCAGGAAAGAGAGAAGGAGUGAGAGGCUUAGACCAGCUCUGUUCUGGCAAUCAGGAGAGAAGGCUAUGUCCUUGGCCUUUGAGUCAUUUCCUCCUCUGGAAAUAGAAGGAGUAAGAUCCAGAACUCUUGCUGCCACUCCUCUCUCCCAUGCCCGCCGCAGACCAGUCUUGCUGAGCCAGAACAAAACCUCAAAAUCUUUGUCAACACAGUGCUCUAAGCAGCCAGUACUGAAACCGGCAAUCAAAACGAAACCUUUUUGCUAUUCCUGACCUGACACACAGCCUGUUUUCUUUUAAAACAUCUGAAACCCACUUACAACUCAGGCGUAAACAUUCAUCAUCGCAGAACUGCCCAAUCAGUAAAUCACGAUGACAGCAAGAAAGGUGUGACCAGCUGGUCACACACAGCUCUGUGGAACCACCUACCACUUCUUCCAUCCUGAGUGCAUCCUCUGGAUAUGAUUUAAAUAAAACUGCAGAAAAAGAAAAUGAUCUGGGAAGAGAAAAGUUGCCAUGACUCUGCCUAGAUGCUGAAAAUGAG
Molecule: long non-coding RNA, 2006 nt
Organism: Equus asinus (donkey)
Lineage: Eukaryota; Metazoa; Chordata; Mammalia; Perissodactyla; Equidae
Source: Ensembl